Molecule: transfer RNA, 71 nt
Filed under: Dipodomys ordii (Ord's kangaroo rat)
Lineage: Eukaryota; Metazoa; Chordata; Mammalia; Rodentia; Heteromyidae
Rfam family: tRNA
About the family: Transfer RNA (tRNA) molecules are approximately 80 nucleotides in length. Their secondary structure includes four short double-helical elements and three loops (D, anti-codon, and T loops). Further hydrogen bonds mediate the characteristic L-shaped molecular structure. tRNAs have two regions of fundamental functional importance: the anti-codon, which is responsible for specific mRNA codon recognition, and the 3' end, to which the tRNAs corresponding amino acid is attached (by aminoacyl-tRNA synthetases). tRNAs cope with the degeneracy of the genetic code in two manners: having more than one tRNA (with a specific anti-codon) for a particular amino acid; and 'wobble' base-pairing, i.e. permitting non-standard base-pairing at the 3rd anti-codon position.
Source: Rfam by way of RNAcentral
GGGAAGGUGGCUCAGGGGUAGAGCGUUUGCCUUGCAUGCAUGAGGCCCUGGGUUCAAUUCCUCAGCACCCA